RNAcentral lists this unclassified non-coding RNA (438 nucleotides) under fungal sp. Its description in RNAcentral is "partial internal transcribed spacer region". The stretch from base 1 to 46 matches the Rfam family "Eukaryotic small subunit ribosomal RNA", at positions 1786 to 1831 of the family's 1831-position model. Lineage: Eukaryota; Fungi. The record is from RNAcentral.
AAGUCGUAACAAGGUUUCCGUAGGUGAACCUGCGGAAGGAUCCGUAACAAAAUGCAAUCUUUGCAUUAACCAAACCGUGCUCUUUUUUUUAUUUUGGACUUGAUGAUGAAACCGUUUCGAAAAUGUGCAACACAUUACCGAAGAAGGCUGGCAUGUGACUGAAGGAUGAAGCGGGACGUUGAUGCCCUUCAACUGCUGAAUCCUUAGCAUGGGAAGUCUUUUAGUGGUCUCGAAACAACCUCUUGAUCAAGUUGAAAGGCAUUUGCAAAAUGUGCAAUACACAUUUAAUUUAUUUAAAUGAAUUAUAAUUUUUGAACUGAUCUAGGCUAGAUUGAUUCCCUAUGGGAAUGAUGAAAGCCGCUGUAAAGAUUGUUAUAAACAGUCAGUACAACACUAGCCGACGGAGACCUUGGCUCCCAUAACGAUGAAGAACGCAGC